This 820-nucleotide ribosomal RNA is filed under the name uncultured bacterium. Its description in RNAcentral is "bacterial SSU rRNA". It matches the Rfam family "Bacterial small subunit ribosomal RNA", at positions 8 to 810 of the family's 1533-position model. The record is from RNAcentral.
AGAGUUUGAUCCUGGCUCAGGAUGAACGCUGGCGGCGUGCCUAAUACAUGCAAGUCGAACGCACAGCGAAAGGUGCUUGCACCUUUCAAGUGAGUGGCGAACGGGUGAGUAACACGUGGAUAACCUACCUCAAGGUUGGGGAUAACAUUUGGAAACAGAUGCUAAUACCGAAUAAAACUUCGUAUCGCAUGAUACAAGGUUAAAAGGCGCUACGGCGUCACCUAGAGAUGGAUCCGCGGUGCAUUAGUUAGUUGGUGGGGUAAAGGCCUACCAAGACAAUGAUGCAUAGCCGAGUUGAGAGACUGAUCGGCCACAUUGGGACUGAGACACGGCCCAAACUCCUACGGGAGGCUGCAGUAGGGAAUCUUCCACAAUGGGCGAAAGCCUGAUGGAGCAACGCCGCGUGUGUGAUGAAGGCUUUCGGGUCGUAAAGCACUGUUGUAUGGGAAGAACAGCUAGAGUAGGGAAUGACUUUAGUUUGACGGUACCAUACCAGAAAGGGACGGCUAAAUACGUGCCAGCAGCCGCGGUAAUACGUAUGUCCCGAGCGUUAUCCGGAUUUAUUGGGCGUAAAGCGAGCGCAGACGGUUGAUUAAGUCUGAUGUGAAAGCCCGGAGCUCAACUCCGGAAAGGCAUUGGAAACUGGUCAACUUGAGUGCAGUAGAGGUAAGUGGAACUCCAUGUGUAGCGGUGGAAUGCGUAGAUAUAUGGAAGAACACCAGCGGCGAAGGCGGCUUACUGGACUGUAACUGACGUUGAGGCUCGAAAGUGUGGGUAGCAAACAGGAUUAGAUACCCUGGUAGUCCACACCGUAAACGAU